AACGAACGCUGGCGGCACGCCUAACACAUGCAAGUCGAGCACUUCACUUCGGUGAGGAGCGGCGGACGGGUUAGUAACGCGUGGGAACAUACCCUUUUCUACGGAAUAGCCUCGGGAAACUGAGAGUAAUACCGUAUACGCCCCUCGGGGGAAAGAUUUAUCGGUGAAGGAUUGGCCCGCGUAAGAUUAGAUAGUUGGUGGGGUAAUGGCCUACCAAGUCUACGAUCUUUAGCUGGUUUGAGAGGAUGAUCAGCAACACUGGGACUGAGACACGGCCCAGACUCC
This 285-nucleotide ribosomal RNA is filed under the name unidentified marine bacterioplankton. Its description in RNAcentral is "partial 16S ribosomal RNA". It matches the Rfam family "Bacterial small subunit ribosomal RNA", at positions 29 to 339 of the family's 1533-position model. RNAcentral also lists the same sequence under 1 other name. The record is from RNAcentral.